GCCUGGGUGGCUUGGUUGGUUAAGCGUCUGACUUCAGCUCAGGUCAUGAUCUCAUGGUCCGUGAGUUUGAGCCCCGCAUCGGGCU
Molecule: non-coding RNA, 85 nt
Organism: Felis catus (domestic cat)
Lineage: Eukaryota; Metazoa; Chordata; Mammalia; Carnivora; Felidae
Source: Rfam